UGAGGAAUAUUGGUCAAUGGACGCAAGUCUGAACCAGCCAAGUAGCGUGCAGGAUGACGGCCCUAUGGGUUGUAAACUGCUUUUAUAUGGGGAUAAAGUUGGGAACGUGUUCCCUUUUGCAGGUACCAUAUGAAUAAGGACCGGCUAAUUCCGUGCCAGCAGCCGCGGUCAUACGGAAGGUUCGGGCGUUAUCCGGAUUUAUUGGGUUUAAAGGGAGCGUAGGCCGUUUGGUAAGCGUGUUGUGAAAUGUAGGAGAUCAACUUCUAGAUUGCAGCGCGAACUGUCAGACUUGAGUGCGCACAACGUAGGCGGAAUUCAUGGUGUAGCGGUGAAAUGCUUAGAUAUCAUGAAGAACUCCGAUUGCGAAGGCAGCUUACGGGAGCGCAACUGACGCUGAAGCUCGAAGGUGCGGGUAUCGAACAGG
RNAcentral lists this ribosomal RNA (424 nucleotides) under Verrucomicrobiota bacterium. Its description in RNAcentral is "Verrucomicrobia bacterium partial 16S ribosomal RNA". It matches the Rfam family "Bacterial small subunit ribosomal RNA", at positions 355 to 776 of the family's 1533-position model. The record is from RNAcentral. Lineage: Bacteria; Pseudomonadati; Verrucomicrobiota.